CAGCGCCGCGGUAAAACGAAGGGGGCUAGCGUUGUUCGGAAUCACUGGGCGUAAAGCGCACGUAGGCGGACUUUUAAGUCAGGGGUGAAAUCCCAAGGCUCAACCUUGGAACUGCCUUUGAUACUGGAAGUCUUGAGUUCGGGAGAGGUGAGUGGAACUGCGAGUGUAGAGGUGAAAUUCGUAGAUAUUCGCAAGAACACCAGUGGCGAAGGCGGCUCACUGGCCCGAUACUGACGCUGAGGUGCGAAAGCGUGGGGAGCAAACAGGAUUAGAUACCCCAGUAGUCCCUGUCUCUUAUACC
RNAcentral lists this ribosomal RNA (301 nucleotides) under uncultured bacterium. RNAcentral's name for it is "partial 16S ribosomal RNA". It matches the Rfam family "Bacterial small subunit ribosomal RNA", at positions 509 to 808 of the family's 1533-position model. The record is from RNAcentral.